GCAGGGGUAGCAAAGCUUGGUCAAAUGCGCUAGCUUGAGGGGCUAGUGUCUUAGGACUUCGUGGGUUCAAAUCCCUCCCCCUGCA
This 85-nucleotide transfer RNA is filed under the name uncultured archaeon. RNAcentral's name for it is "tRNA-Leu(gag)". It matches the Rfam family "tRNA". Rfam says of the family: Transfer RNA (tRNA) molecules are approximately 80 nucleotides in length. Their secondary structure includes four short double-helical elements and three loops (D, anti-codon, and T loops). Further hydrogen bonds mediate the characteristic L-shaped molecular structure. tRNAs have two regions of fundamental functional importance: the anti-codon, which is responsible for specific mRNA codon recognition, and the 3' end, to which the tRNAs corresponding amino acid is attached (by aminoacyl-tRNA synthetases). tRNAs cope with the degeneracy of the genetic code in two manners: having more than one tRNA (with a specific anti-codon) for a particular amino acid; and 'wobble' base-pairing, i.e. permitting non-standard base-pairing at the 3rd anti-codon position. The record is from RNAcentral.